Molecule: long non-coding RNA, 1573 nt
Filed under: Equus caballus (horse)
Lineage: Eukaryota; Metazoa; Chordata; Mammalia; Perissodactyla; Equidae
Description: lncRNA (ENSECAG00000050286.1)
Source: RNAcentral
GGGUGCUUGGAGCAUCCACAUAACAGAGGCGGCUGCGGUCCUGGCCCUCUGAGGUGACUGGGCACUUAGGUCAGUGGCCCUGACCACAACGAUGCCACUGUGCACAGCACGGUGCACAGGGACCCUCACUGCUCCUCGCGAGCGCGGUGCGGGCUCCACCCAUUCUCCGCAUUCAAGCUCCACGCCCGCUUCACCCACCCGAGGCACUGGUGCUACUGCGGUGUGUGCCAAACUCAGAAAUCCCCAAACCACCAGCCCGGCCUGUUUCAGGGGAAGCUCCAAGCACCCCUCUCCCAAACCUUUCUCCAUCCAGCCCAUCACCGCUUAAAGCCUGGGGCUUUCACAACCGAAAAUGCAGGUGGGGAUUCUCUGCCGGAAGCAUGGGAUUUCUGUUUUUGGCUCAACAUCCCCCAAACCAUUCAUAAACCCUCGAAGCAAUGAAAGGCGGAACAGAGAGGAGAAAAAACACUCAACAGCAGCAAGAGACAGUCCACAAACUAAAAUCCAUCCUGACACGGCCCCUGUGGGUUGGGCAGAGGAUUCCUCAGCUCGGACACCCAGCCUCACCACCCCAAGGGGGAAUUCCCAGGGACCUCCACAAUGCAGCACCUCCCUGCGAGCAGUUUUCCCUGCCCCCCAGUGGGCAGACGUUGAGUUCCAUCAGUGUGCAACCUUAGCAAACCUCUCUGUCACCCAGUGGCAUGGCCAUCCCGUCUUCAACAAGGAGCCUACGGAAGCAUGAAGCUUGCGUGUAUGCCUCGUCUGGACCCCGUGAGUUCUGCCUGCCUUCUCUGGGUCCCUCAGGCUUAAAAUUUUUUUUAUAGUAAAAACUUUGAAAGGAAGAGGAGUGUGAAAGCCUCAUCUGAGUGUUUGUUGUGCCUCAGUCUCAGCCCCUGGAAUUAUUCAGAUAACUGCUCCCUGAAACCUCCUCACAGUGGCCCAAAAUAUUAGGUCAGUCUAAGACAUGAUAACUGAAGCCAGAAACCGCAGACCCUGGUUGGCAGCUUAACUUUUAAAAAAUUGAAGAAUGGGGGCAGCUGAUACAGGUUCGUUGAGAUGACAAGCUUUCCGCCAGCCAUAGUCUCUUUCAAUAGACCAGGAAAAGGUUACCAAAUAUUUACAAGCCUGUUAUCAUAAAACUUAAGUUAAAUCUAUAUUUAUUCUGUAUCUGGUUAUCUUAACAUUGUGUCUCUAAAUUCUUUCUUAAGAGUGAGGAAGAACUUUCUUAUAAAUUAAGUUAUUUUUAAUGGGGAAUAUUCACUUGUAACUUAGAAUCUACAUAUUUGUUGCAUGAAACUUUGUUAGAAUUUUGAUGUAGAAAGCUGUUUAUUCUCUUCAAGUUUAUAGUUUAUAUCAAGUUUAUAGCUAUGUUUGGAGUAGGCUUGAUAUUACCUGCCACGACUGUAAUAAUUUCCUAAGUCUUCACUGAUCUAUUCUGUUUCACUAAAGAUCCAUGUAAACUCUCUUAAACUUAGGAACAAAGCUAAAGCAUUUACUACUGUAAAAUUCUGUUUUGUUUUGUUUCUUUACUGAUUGGUUCAAAAUUGUUUUAAAAUUCUGGGGUUUUUUUACA